CUCCGGCGUAAGCGUGUCAAGACCCAUACUAAAAUAAAGUUAAAACCCAGUUAAGCUGUAAAAAGCUACAACUAAAGUAAAAUAAACUACGAAAGUGACUUUAAUACCUCUGACCACACGAUAGCUAAGGCCCAAACUGGGAUUAGAUACCCCACAAA
Molecule: ribosomal RNA, 158 nt
Filed under: Equus asinus (donkey)
Lineage: Eukaryota; Metazoa; Chordata; Mammalia; Perissodactyla; Equidae
Description: partial small subunit ribosomal RNA
Source: RNAcentral